GCCUGGGUGGCUCAGUUGGUUAAGCAUCUGACUUCAGCUCAGGUCACAACCUCGCAGUCCGUGGGUUCGAGCCCCGCGUCGGGCU
Molecule: transfer RNA, 85 nt
Filed under: Felis catus (domestic cat)
Lineage: Eukaryota; Metazoa; Chordata; Mammalia; Carnivora; Felidae
Rfam family: tRNA
About the family: Transfer RNA (tRNA) molecules are approximately 80 nucleotides in length.
Source: Rfam by way of RNAcentral